This 265-nucleotide unclassified non-coding RNA is filed under the name Exobasidium sp. Its description in RNAcentral is "partial contains 5.8S ribosomal RNA, internal transcribed spacer 2, and large subunit ribosomal RNA". The stretch from base 1 to 52 matches the Rfam family "5.8S ribosomal RNA", at positions 103 to 154 of the family's 154-position model. The record is from RNAcentral. Lineage: Eukaryota; Fungi; Basidiomycota; Exobasidiomycetes; Exobasidiales; Exobasidiaceae.
AACGCACAUUGCGCCUCUUGGUAUUCCGAGGGGCAUGUCUGUUUGAGCGUCAGUACACACCUCCUGCGAGACUUUUUUGGUCCCGGCAGGGUCUUGGGAUGGGGGGCCGCUCCGGCGCCUCCCCCCCUAAUGUGGCACGCUUGCGGGCUCACUGCCGGAUGUCAACGUAGUAAUCUUAUCUCGUUCCAGCCGACGAUGGGCCUCGCCUGAAUCGAACUUCUCAUGGUUUGACCUCAGAUCAGACAAGGAUACCCGCUGAACUUAA